RNAcentral lists this transfer RNA (73 nucleotides) under Eubacterium sp. RNAcentral's name for it is "tRNA-Thr". It matches the Rfam family "tRNA". Rfam says of the family: Transfer RNA (tRNA) molecules are approximately 80 nucleotides in length. Their secondary structure includes four short double-helical elements and three loops (D, anti-codon, and T loops). Further hydrogen bonds mediate the characteristic L-shaped molecular structure. tRNAs have two regions of fundamental functional importance: the anti-codon, which is responsible for specific mRNA codon recognition, and the 3' end, to which the tRNAs corresponding amino acid is attached (by aminoacyl-tRNA synthetases). tRNAs cope with the degeneracy of the genetic code in two manners: having more than one tRNA (with a specific anti-codon) for a particular amino acid; and 'wobble' base-pairing, i.e. permitting non-standard base-pairing at the 3rd anti-codon position. The record is from RNAcentral. Lineage: Bacteria; Bacillati; Bacillota; Clostridia; Eubacteriales; Eubacteriaceae.
GCUUCGAUAGCUCAGUUGGUAGAGCGACGCACUCGUAAUGCGUAGGUCGUGGGUUCAAGUCCCAUUCGAAGCU